Molecule: ribosomal RNA, 253 nt
Filed under: uncultured bacterium
Lineage: Bacteria
Description: partial 16S ribosomal RNA
Rfam family: Bacterial small subunit ribosomal RNA
Source: RNAcentral
UACGGAGGGUGCAAGCGUUGUCCGGAUUUAUUGGGUUUAAAGGGUGCGUAGGCGGCCCUGUAAGUCAGUGGUGAAAGCCUCCAGCUCAACUAGAGAACUGCCAUUGAUACUGCAGGGCUUGAGUACAGGCGAGGUUGGCGGAAUUGAUUGUGUAGCGGUGAAAUGCAUAGAUACAAUCAAGAACUCCGAUUGCGUAGGCAGCUAACUAGGCUGUAACUGACGCUGAGGCACGAAAGCGUGGGGAGCGAACAGG